GUGCUUAAUAAGAAAAUUGCAUAUAUUUAGUAAAAAAAUAACAUAAUUAUAUUGAAAAAAUAUACUUUAAUAAUGAUUAUAUAAUUUGUUAAUAAUAACAAAACAUUAAUUGCACGGAUAUAACAACUACUUGUAAGAAAAUUAAAUCGGAUAAUAAUUCAAAUAUAUUAUUCACAAACCAUUUAUGGCUUGUUUAACAUUAUCUGUUGACACCAAUUUCAAGGCACUAAUAAUUCCAUUCAAAUUUUUUUCAUUGUAUGGUUUAUUUUGCAACUGGGACACAACAGGAACACGUUCUCCGCUAGGCAUU
Long non-coding RNA from Musca vetustissima, 310 nucleotides. RefSeq lists it as uncharacterized. The transcript is spliced from 2 exons. The record is from RefSeq and is a predicted model, not a curated record. Lineage: Eukaryota; Metazoa; Arthropoda; Insecta; Diptera; Muscidae.